CGCAUGUUUGGCACCCUGUAGACCUGGGUUCGAGUCCGGGUGGCUUAACCAUGCUCUCCCUUCGCUAUAACUCCAAAGCCUCUAGGCUCCAGGCUGCUCCUGAAAUACAUCCUCAAACAGACAGUACAGUGACUGCUUUUCUGAUGCUAUUCUGUUGUUGAAAAACACAAAUCAGCCUCACUUAAGAGGAUUCUGCCUCUAAAUUGUAAUGAUGGCCACAUUUAGCCAGACCUCAAUUACAUAAAACCCAUAACAGUGAUUAGCUGCUGGGGGAACUCCGUUUUAAUUAGGCUCAAACAACCUGCACAAUUAUCUUAGCUUUUGAUGUGGAGUUUUGGCAAUCAAUUAGUCUGCUUCCAAACAUAGACAUAUAUAUGUCUAUGCUUCCAAACGCUCACAUUUAGGAGAUUCCAUUUGCUAUGUAUGGAGAGAGGGAGGAGUUCCAAUGUCUUUGUGCUGUGAACCUCUGUCAUGGACAGAAAGUUCCGGCUAGCGAGAAGUUCCGGAUGACGCAACAGACGUUCCGAUCAGCUGUUUAUCAAAUAAUCUUGGCGUCGUUGCUAUGAUGGUUGCUAUGAGCUCGCGGUUGAUAGGAGUCGCGAGAAGCUGUCAUUUACCUCAGGAACACCUCAGGAACACACAAGCGGACAGCGACAGAGACAGAGACAGCGACAGCAUUCAAUUUCAAUUACAUUUCUUUAUUAAAUUCUAAUCUUCAUUAUCCUAUUUGCCUACUUUGUGAAAAUGGUAUCGUUUGAUAAUAUUUUAUUUUAUCUUGUAGGUAGCAAGGACAAGUACAAGCCAGGGACGGAAGAGUCCGCCAAAAGAUCUAUUAGAAAAGCUGCAAAAGCCUACUGUGUCCAAGGUGAUGGGUUGUACCACCAAGGCGAUGAGUCCUGUCUGAGGAGAGUGGUGAUGACGGAAGAGGAGAAGGAGUUAUUUACGAAGAUGAAUGUUGCUUCGUUGAUGGUGACCACUAAGUGGCACCUGUAUCAUGUAUAAAUUCUCGUUUGUAAUAAACCAGACUAGCUGAAGUGAUAGAACGAGCUACAAGUGUUUCCUUGUUGCUCUCUGUGUGUGUGUGCCUGUGAAUGGUUACAUAUAGGUAAAACAUAGAGGCAACAUAACAGUUUAGUCUGUUUCCCAAAACUGAAAGACUGUAGCCACAGUGUGUGUGUUUUUAUGUGUCUGUGUCAUCGAAGGUAAAACCACCAAAACUAUAUUUCCUAAAAACAUACACCCUUGAGAUGUCAUUUAACAUGAGUUAAGAUAAGUCAAGCCCUCCAAGCCCUAAUAGUAGAGGCCUAUAUAUAUCAGUCAUACACUUGAUUUACCUAUAGUAUUGGACAACAAAGUGAAAGGAGGGUGGGACUUCUCUCAACACAUCUUUAAAGGUUAUCCCCUCAAGAUGUUUUAAUAGAUUCUAGAGGGUGUGUGCAGUUUUCCUUUUACCUAAAUUUCCCUCGGGAUUAAUAAAGUAUCCAUCUAUCUAUCUAUCUAUCUAUGACACAUGCUCAAAUGUACUAGUUGUUCAUUUUGAAUGGGAGGGCUACUUGAGGAAUUGUAGACUGGGUAUGUGACAAAAAAAAAAUCUGCCUUAAUUUUUUUAAGACUCCCAUCCUCGAAGAGGCACACGCAGGCCACUUUGGACGAGUGCGCAUGGAGGCCAAGAUCCGGCAGCGCUUUUAUUGGCAGAACAUCAGGGAGGAUGUGGACAACUGGGUAAAAAAAGGAGGCACACACUAUUAAUUGCAGCAGGAUAAGUCACUCCAACACUUAAUGACCAAUGUCUUUCAGAUUUAGACCUGCAUGCGGUACCAACGCUUUGAGAGGGUGAAGACGGAGGCCCCGGAGCUGAGGCCCAUCAAGCCAGUUGCUCCCUGGCACAUGAUUGGUGUUGAUCUCAUCGGACCCAUGAAGGCGUCAAGAAAGGGGAAAAACACCUAUUACCUCACAGCGACUGACUAUUUCACCAAGUGGGUAGAGGCUAUUCCCAUCAAGAGGAAGGCAGCCGUGUUGACUGCGGAGGCUAUGAUGGACAUCUUCCUGAAACAUGGUGCCCCGGAGGUCAUCUUGACCGACAGAGGAAGGGAGUUCUGGAAUGAGGUUGUUUCAUUAUUCGUUAACAUUUUCAGCAUGGUGAAACUAACAACAUUAUGCGGUCUGUUACUCAUGAUUUCCAUUUGGUAUUAACUCUUUUCUGUUCUCUGAACAACUGCGAUAGCUUUGUGUUCACAGUCAAACUAGUCUUUAACGGGGAAGUCCGCGAUCCAAAUUAAGUUCCAGACGUCCAAAGUGAGCUUUAAAUAAACAGAAUCGGUGAUAUUAAGUUAUUUAAUCGUAUUUAUCACCGUAAUUCCCUAGUAAUGUUCGGUGUGACAUGAAGAUUCUAUAUCAUUCACGUGCAAAAGCAAAACAGCUGAUCCGAACGUCUCUGUUGCGUCAUCCGGAACUUCUGGCUAGCCGGAACUUUCUGUCCAUGACACCUCCACCUGCACUUUCGGAAGGGGUUCUAGAUUACUUUUUUUUGGUUCUAGAUGACUAGGGGUUCUAGUCCCACCUCUAGAACCAGAACGUCUCCAGAACGUCUGUUCUCUUCCAUUACUUAAGCAAAAACGCAAAAACGUUGGCCCCUGGUCAGCGCCUCUAGGCCAACAUUCAGGACGUGUGCAGGAACAGGAAAUUGAAAAUUGUUGAACAUUUGCAUUUUGUCCAAAAUAUAUACAUUGAAUAUAUAAUAAAAGACAUUUGUCAGACAUUGUACAUUACAAUACAUUACAUUUACAUUACAUUACUGCACAUUCCAGUUUAAACUGUUCGACAACAAAUCACUC
This is a long non-coding RNA of Clupea harengus (Atlantic herring), 2834 nucleotides long. RefSeq lists it as uncharacterized. NCBI's taxonomy places the organism in Eukaryota, Metazoa, Chordata, Actinopteri, Clupeiformes, Clupeidae. The record is from RefSeq and is a predicted model, not a curated record.